Long non-coding RNA from Anguilla rostrata (American eel), 1736 nucleotides. RefSeq lists it as uncharacterized. The transcript has 2 exons. The record is from RefSeq and is a predicted model, not a curated record. NCBI's taxonomy places the organism in Eukaryota, Metazoa, Chordata, Actinopteri, Anguilliformes, Anguillidae.
AGAGGGAUUAUUUGCCCACUUAAGCCACCUUGUGUCAGCAAUAGCUAUGCAUGCCAUAAAGAAUAAAAGUCCCAUAUUCAUAUUGUGCUAUAUUGUAGAUGAUUACGUAAAGAGGUUAAAAAAAAACUUUUAAAAAAAAAAAAGUCCAGAGGUUCAUGCUGUCUCCCCCAGAUCCCCUCCCUACUGAACAGGCGCCCCGACCAACCAGUAGGAGUCGCUAAUGCAAUGAUCAGGACUCAUUCCCUCACCGGCUUCCCACCCACGAAAACUGCCUAGUCAACUAGCUACAUUUUCAAAGUAGCUUAACCAACCCUAUAUUUUAAUCCUCGUAGGUUUGCCACAUAUGACCACCUGAUGGCGAUCUAGAGGCUCAUAGAGCCGUCAUCAUGCAACAUGAUCCAUGUAACCAGAGCCAAGGCAGCAGCAAAGAAGAACGAUGUCAUUCUUCCACUCAAUUUUGCGACACAAACUCUGCAACUAAUUGAUAAGUUUUUCCUCUUCAUGAACCACUUAGCUCUUGGUUUGAAGCACAGGGAUCUGGCCCACAGAUUUCAAAUACACCAGUCAACCCUGAGUCGCUUUACUGUAACAUAGGCCAACUACCUCUUCACCAUACUUGGGUCAGUGAAAAUCUGGUUGUCUGAGGAAGAGGUCAGGCUAACUUUCCAAAGGUGUUCAAGGAGUAUGCGGACACACAAGUUGUGCCAGACUGCACAGAACUGCGCUGCCAAACACCAUCAUCUCUGAUCCUUCAAAGUGAAGUAUACUCCACUUACAAAUCCCACUGUACCUUCAAAGGGAUGAUUGGCAUGGCACCACAUGGAGCAGUCACCUUUAUUUCAGCCCUGUAUGCUGCUUCUGUCAGCGGAUUCUGAAAGAGCAGCCGAUUCUGAAAGAGUCUGGAAUUGUUCCUUUGCUGAAGCCGGGAAUGGCAAUAAUAGUGGACAAAGGUUUUCUUGUAAAUGACUGUGUGCCCUGUAAAGUCUACAGACCACCUUUCCUGUACAAGGGAACACAGAUGCCAGCAUCAGAUGUGAGGGAGACCGAAGCAAUUGAAAGGCUGAGAGUCCAUGUUGAGCGACUGAUUCGCAGGUUGAAGGAGCACAAGCUGUUUGACAGUGUCAUCCCCCUCUCCACCAUUGGGAACUUCAACCAGCUGUACACAGUUGCAUGUCUCCUCCUCAACUACGAAAGUGGACCACUGGUCAGAGCUUGGGCAAAAUAGUCCUGAAAAUGCAUGCACACACACACACAGCCAUGCACAUACACACAAUCCAAUGGUAAAUCCAAUCAGUUUUUUUAUUGAAACGUCACAGUGACAUUAGUAUUGUUAAUAAUGAUGCUGGAAACAAAUUUGCAAAUGCAUUAAUUUUCAAGUGAAAAUGCGUAGGUGGCAAAAACAUGAAAACUUAGCCUUAUUAACUGCAACAUUCAAGUGUCAAUAUAUCAUAUUUUCAUUACAAUUCUGUACAUCAGUUUUGUGGUAAAAACACUGUGUUCUGUCACCCCUAAGCACCCUGCAUAAGCUGGCAGACAGAUAACUCCUCUUCCAAUUAUCACACUUCAUCAGUAAGUGACUGCUUCUCAAAGGCACAGAACACAUAUACAGAAUACGAAGACAACACACACUGAAAUUCAAGAUAGGUAGACAUAAAAAAUAAAUAGUCUGCCUUCUCCCUAAUUUCUUUAAUAACCGCAUUGUCUCUCUGGAUUCGCUGGAUGAACAUGUCCUCCUG